GUCAGAAAGAUUGAGAGGUGGGUAGGAACCAGAUAAGGGGAUAAUGUUCAUUUGUUUUAUUAACUAUUUUGUAUUAUUUUGUUUGGAUGAUUUUAUGACAUUUAUAUUUUUACUGAAUCAGAAUGCCGCCUCAUCAUGUCUGUAGCCAGAAUUGGAUGUUUAGGGGCUCUCGGGGAAGAGUCCCUGCUAACCAAGCGGACGAGGCUUCGCAAAGCUCAAGGCCCCGGGGUCAAUCAACAAUGACUCCGGAAGCUGUCGCUGGAAAUCAAACUCGGGUGCUCGAACUGAUCGAGGAGGUUGUCGGGUUAGUACGCCAACAGAGGCAACAACCUC
RNAcentral lists this long non-coding RNA (333 nucleotides) under Phoenix dactylifera (date palm). RNAcentral describes it as "long non-coding RNA (PDAC_LNC010576)". The record is from RNAcentral. Lineage: Eukaryota; Viridiplantae; Streptophyta; Magnoliopsida; Arecales; Arecaceae.